This 472-nucleotide ribosomal RNA is filed under the name uncultured bacterium. RNAcentral's name for it is "bacterial SSU rRNA". It matches the Rfam family "Bacterial small subunit ribosomal RNA", at positions 8 to 526 of the family's 1533-position model. The record is from RNAcentral.
AGAGUUUGAUCCUGGCUCAGAGCGAACGCUGGCGGCAGGCCUAACACAUGCAAGUCGAACGGACCCUUCGGGGUUAGUGGCGGACGGGUGAGUAACACGUGGGAACGUGCCUUUUGGUUCGGAAUAGCUCCUGGAAACGGGUGGUAAUGCCGAAUGUGCCCUUCGGGGGAAAGAUUUAUCGCCAUUAGAGCGGCCCGCGUCUGAUUAGCUAGUUGGUGAGGUAAAGGCUCACCAAGGCUACGAUCAGUAGCUGGUCUGAGAGGAUGACCAGCCACAUUGGGACUGAGACACGGCCCAAACUCCUACGGGAGGCAGCAGUGGGGAAUCUUGCGCAAUGGGCGAAAGCCUGACGCAGCCAUGCCGCGUGUAUGAUGAAGGUCUUAGGAUUGUAAAAUACUUUCACCGGUGAAGAUAAUGACUGUAGCCGGAGAAGAAGCCCCGGCUAACUUCGUGCCAGCAGCCGCGGUAAUAC